Molecule: non-coding RNA, 1321 nt
Organism: Phoenix dactylifera (date palm)
Lineage: Eukaryota; Viridiplantae; Streptophyta; Magnoliopsida; Arecales; Arecaceae
Source: RefSeq, a predicted model, not a curated record
UACAUAUUUAGUGCUUCAGAGUUUAUAAGUAAAAUAUUUGAUCAUAAUGUUUUCUUUAGAUUUUUAAUUUAUAUUUUUUUGAAGGUGAGAUCAAAAGCUGGCAAAAAGAAUAGGAAAAAGCUUGAGUACAAUCAUUGUUCAGGAUCUCGGUCAUUUGUUGCAACAAUGACUAUACAGAUAAUAUUGUUCACCCUUAUAGUCUUCCAGUAGAUUUUUUAUUCUAGUUUGCUACAAGUAUAUUUUUGGAAUUCUUUUAUGCAAGUAGAUCUGACAGUUAUUCUAGUUUUCUUAUUAUGUAGUGGCUAUAUGCUAAUCUAAAUUACACUUUGCAGCCGGAGUUUAAUGGUUAUGAAAAUCUUGAAUUUCCAGAAUUCUAUAAGAAAACUCAUACCAAGAAGAACAAAGAGUGGAUUGAUCCUAUUUGCGUCGUGAAACAUUCAAAGAUGUUGAGCUUGCGAGAAGAAUCUUCCCAAUCCGAUGUGCAAUUAACAUCAGAGGAGAUGUCUAAGCAAGCACUUGGAAAAAGGAAAAGAUACAUUCUUGGAUUUGGGGAUGGGCCGAAGCCCUCUUCAUCUUCUUCCACACCUAGUCGUGUGUCACAAGACCACGUUGGGGAGUUGCAGAAACUUAAAGCUAAGAUGGAGGAGAUGAAGAUGGAGCGUGAGGAGCUGCGGAGGCAAUUGGAGCAGGGGAGGAGAGAGCGUGAGGAGGAAAAGAAAAAGCGAGAGGAAGAACAGAAGCAAAUUGCACAUCUUACAAGUUUGGUGACAUAGUUCUUAAAGGGAAAGACUCAAACGCACAAGUCAUCUAUCCAUCAUGAUGGGGCCAUGUAUUCAACUGAUGGUACAAAUACUCGUUGGUAUGUAUUUUCAUUUAUAUUACGUAGGUUAUUUAGAAAUUUGGACCAAAUUAAGCGAAAUGUCAUUGUGAACUUAUACUUGAAUUUUAGUUUAUUAUUUUUCACAUGUGGUUAUUGAUUGUGUAUUCUUUUUUGCUUUCUCAGAUACAUGGUGGAGUUAUGAGCAUGUGAAAUCUAGUUUCUAGUACAUAGAUAGCUUUUGUUCAGAUGAUCAUGGUGGAGUUGUCUACAAGCAGAAUCCAGUUUUUGGUAUAAGAAUAUUUUUGUCUACAUGAUGGUUGUUUGGAUGAAUAGCAAGAUCAGAUAUUUUGGAAUUUUUAAUUUACAUUUUGAUGUGUUUGGUGAUAAUUAUCACCUUAACAUAUGGUAUGGAUGAAAUAUUUUGAUGUAUGGUUAAUAGGUAUGCUUGACUUUAGACUUAUAGAUGAUGAUAUUUAUAAUGAAUGAUUAUGGAUUCUCCAA